RNAcentral lists this ribosomal RNA (253 nucleotides) under uncultured bacterium. RNAcentral's name for it is "partial 16S ribosomal RNA". It matches the Rfam family "Bacterial small subunit ribosomal RNA", at positions 524 to 776 of the family's 1533-position model. The record is from RNAcentral.
UACGUAGGGGGCGAGCGUUGUCCGGAGUUACUGGGCGUAAAGCGCACGCAGGCGGUCCGUUAAGUUUGGAGUGACAAUUGGUGGCUCAACCACCAAAGUGCUUUGAAAACUGACAGACUUGAGGGCUUCAGAGGGACACGGAAUUCCGGGUGGAGUGGUGAAAUGCGUAGAGAUCCGGAGGAACACCAAAGGCGAAGGCAGUGUCCUGGGGAGUACCUGACGCUCAGGUGCGAAAGCCAGGGGAGCGAACGGG